CUUAAUUUCCUUACGAGCCUUUGUUGAGGGACCUUGUCAAAGGCUUUCUGAAAAUCUAAGUACACUAUAUCCACUAGAUCACUCGUGGCCACAUGCUUGUUGACCCACUCAACGAAUUCUAGUAGAUUGUCAGGCAUGAUUUCUCCUUACAAAAAACAUGUUGACAAGUCUCCA
Molecule: long non-coding RNA, 174 nt
Organism: Gopherus evgoodei (Goodes thornscrub tortoise)
Lineage: Eukaryota; Metazoa; Chordata; Testudines; Testudinidae
Exons: 3
Source: RefSeq, a predicted model, not a curated record